This 253-nucleotide ribosomal RNA is filed under the name uncultured bacterium. RNAcentral's name for it is "partial 16S ribosomal RNA". It matches the Rfam family "Bacterial small subunit ribosomal RNA", at positions 524 to 776 of the family's 1533-position model. The record is from RNAcentral.
UACGUAGGGUGCGAGCGUUAAUCGGAAUUACCGGGCGUAAAGCGUGCGCAGGCGGUUCGUUGUGUCGGCGGUGAAAGCCCCGGGCUCAACCUGGGAAUGGCCGUUGAAACUGGCGAACUGGAGUGUGGCAGAGGGGGGUGGAAUUCCGCGUGUAGCAGUGAAAUGCGUAGAGAUGCGGAGGAACACCGAUGGCGAAGGCAGCCCCCUGGGCUGACACUGACGCUCAGGCACGAAAGCGUGGGGAGCAAACAGG